Gymnogyps californianus (California condor) is the source of this 189-nucleotide long non-coding RNA. RefSeq lists it as uncharacterized. The record is from RefSeq and is a predicted model, not a curated record. The transcript is spliced from 3 exons. Lineage: Eukaryota; Metazoa; Chordata; Aves; Accipitriformes; Cathartidae.
CCCUUUUGACUAACAGCUGGUUUUUUGCUAAGAAGAAAAAGUCUUACUCAAGGUACAGCUAAGAGCUUGGAGAUGGUUCCCAGGGCACUGCAGCUCAGCAGCGUUUCCUGGUAAGACACUGAGCCUUGGGGAGAAGACAUGACCUUAUCACCUUCCCACAAUUUUGUCCAGUUCUGCGCAGUUACUGCA